AGUUUGAUCAUGGCUCAGGAUGAACGCUAGCGGGAGGCCUAACACAUGCAAGCCGAGCGGUAGAGAUUCUUCGGAAUCUUGAGAGCGGCGUACGGGUGCGGAACACGUGUGCAACCUACCUUUAUCUGGAGGAUAGCCUUUCGAAAGGAAGAUUAAUACUCCAUAAUAUAUUUGAUGGCAUCAUUAAAUAUUGAAAGCUCCGGCGGAUAGAGAUGGGCACGCGCAAGAUUAGCUAGUUGGUGAGGUAACGGCUCACCAAGGCAAUGAUCUUUAGGGGGCCUGAGAGGGUGAUCCCCACACUGGUACUGAGACACGGACCAGACUCCUACGGGAGGCAGCAGUGAGGAAUAUUGGUCAAUGGGUGCAAGCCUGAACCAGCCAUCCCGCGUGAAGGACGACUGCCCUAUGGGUUGUAAACUUCUUUUGUAUAGGGAUAAACCUACUCUCGUGAGAGUAGCUGAAGGUACUAUGCGAAUAAGCACCGGCUAACUCCGUG
RNAcentral lists this ribosomal RNA (496 nucleotides) under uncultured bacterium. Its description in RNAcentral is "bacterial SSU rRNA". It matches the Rfam family "Bacterial small subunit ribosomal RNA", at positions 10 to 507 of the family's 1533-position model. The record is from RNAcentral.